This 78-nucleotide small nuclear RNA is filed under the name Gallus gallus (chicken). RNAcentral's name for it is "7SK RNA". It matches the Rfam family "7SK RNA", at positions 15 to 91 of the family's 331-position model. Rfam says of the family: 7SK was discovered as an abundant small nuclear RNA in the mid-70s but a possible function has only recently been suggested. Lineage: Eukaryota; Metazoa; Chordata; Aves; Galliformes; Phasianidae. The record is from Rfam by way of RNAcentral.
UCUGGCUGUGACAUCUGUCACCCCAUUGAUCACCAGUGUUGAUUCAGCUGAUCUCACUGCCUAGGCAGAAGAUCGGCU